UCAAUAGUGGUGAACUUACGCAUUUGACGCCAAUGAGGUCCAUAUGGUGCAAAGCCAAUCAUGGCUUUGUGGUAACCCAUAAGCUCCGCGCAUGCAAGGUUUGGACGAGUUGCAAACGCUUUAUCGUUUAUGGUAAGACAUUCUUUCGCAACCUCCCAAUUGCUCACCACCAAAGCUCUCUGUACACCCAACUUGAUAGUGAAUAUUCUUCCAUAUUUGUCAGCCAUGUUAGCCAAGCUUAUGUGAGGUGGUUGUGGCCCUCCUAGGAGGCGGAGAUGGCCAAUAAUAGGGCAUGCUCCACCAGCUUCUGGUGCUGUUUUCUUCGAGUUUGUGUUUCCUCUUGAGAUCCAUAGGAAAGAGAAAAGAAACAG
RNAcentral lists this long non-coding RNA (371 nucleotides) under Gossypium barbadense (sea-island cotton). RNAcentral describes it as "long non-coding RNA (GBAR_LNC004861)". Lineage: Eukaryota; Viridiplantae; Streptophyta; Magnoliopsida; Malvales; Malvaceae. The record is from RNAcentral.